CUAAUGUUUUCUUUUCUAUAAUUGCAGGAGCCAUUGACACUGGAGAAUGAUACCUACCCUGAAAUAACUCACUUCCUGAGGAAAAAACGCCAUCUCUAGGGACUUUAAAAAGCACUCAUGUUUCCAUCCUCACUGUUGACUCCUGGCUUAAAGGGAUCUCCCGGGGUGAGUGAGGAGGCGGGAUCGGACCCUGGCAGUCUGACGGCAGCACCUGUGUUCCUCUGCACUGGGCCGUGGAUGACAUUACACACCUUGCCACUCCCACGGUCCUGUGUGUUCCAGAUAUUUUAAAAUAAUGGCUAUAAGGCUGAGCACUUCAGGAUAUGCUGUUUUGCUGUGUGCAGAUGGAGGCAGUGGCUGGAGUGAAUGAACGGCAACACUUGCUGGCAACCGGCAGAAGCUGAGAGACAGGGAACAGGCUCUCCUCCAGAGCCUCCAGGAGCCAGGCCUUUGGACACCUUGAAUGUGGGCUUCUGGGAGACCAUGCGUUUCUGUUAUAAGCAGCCCAGUCUCUGGCAGUUUUUACGGCUGCCCCGGAACACUCAUCUAUACCUGUCUGACAAGGUCAAGCUCCAAGGAAGGGAUUCUCUACAUAUCUACAUUGUUUGCAGAUUUUACAAUAAUCAUUUAUUCUUGCAUGGCUGAUCAUUGUUAACCAAUACAAAUAAAAUAAUAAAGAAAUGACCCACAUUUUAUGUUGGGAGUUUGAUCUGCCAUUUAUCAAGUAUGGAAUCUUGAACAAGGGGUUAAACAUCUGAAUGUCU
Molecule: long non-coding RNA, 764 nt
Filed under: Homo sapiens (human)
Lineage: Eukaryota; Metazoa; Chordata; Mammalia; Primates; Hominidae
Description: HSALNT0404908
Source: RNAcentral